Molecule: transfer RNA, 101 nt
Filed under: Salmonella enterica subsp. enterica serovar Enteritidis
Lineage: Bacteria; Pseudomonadati; Pseudomonadota; Gammaproteobacteria; Enterobacterales; Enterobacteriaceae
Description: tRNA-Asn
Source: RNAcentral
AUGGCGCAACUAUGGUCCUGAAUCUCUUCCGCCGAUGCGCGAUUAAGCGUCAGCAGGUUACGCUGGUGAGGUCGGCAGUUCGAAUCUGCCUAUCAGCACCA